GACGAACGCUGGCGGCAUGCCUAACACAUGCAAGUCGAGCGAGUUGAUUUCUUCGGAAUGAAGCUAGCGGCGGACGGGUGAGUAACACGUGGGCAACCUGCCUCAUAGAGGGGAAUAGCCUUCCGAAAGGAAGAUUAAUACCGCAUAAGAUUGUAGUACCGCAUGGUAUAGCAAUUAAAGGAGUAAUCCGCUAUGAGAUGGGCCCGCGGCGCAUUAGCUAGUUGGUGAGGUAACGGCUCACCAAGGCGACGAUGCGUAGCCGACCUGAGAGGGUGAUCGGCCACAUUGGGACUGGGACCCGGCCCAGUCUCCUACGGGAGGCAACAGUGGGGAAUAUUGCACAAUGGGGGAAACCAUGAUGCAGCAAUGCCGCGUGAGUGAUGACGGCCUUCGGGUUGUAAAGCUCUGUCUUCGGGGACGAUAAUGACGGUACCCGAGGAGGAAGCCACGGCUAACUACGUGCCAGCAGCCGCCGUAA
RNAcentral lists this ribosomal RNA (478 nucleotides) under uncultured bacterium. RNAcentral's name for it is "partial 16S ribosomal RNA". It matches the Rfam family "Bacterial small subunit ribosomal RNA", at positions 28 to 523 of the family's 1533-position model. The record is from RNAcentral.